This 242-nucleotide RNase P RNA is filed under the name Salmonella enterica subsp. enterica serovar Kentucky. RNAcentral's name for it is "partial RNase P RNA component class A". It matches the Rfam family "Bacterial RNase P class A", at positions 120 to 367 of the family's 367-position model. From Rfam's summary of the family: Ribonuclease P (RNase P) is a ubiquitous endoribonuclease, found in archaea, bacteria and eukarya as well as chloroplasts and mitochondria. Its best characterised activity is the generation of mature 5'-ends of tRNAs by cleaving the 5'-leader elements of precursor-tRNAs. Lineage: Bacteria; Pseudomonadati; Pseudomonadota; Gammaproteobacteria; Enterobacterales; Enterobacteriaceae. The record is from RNAcentral.
AGCAAACCGCCGAUGGCCCACGUAAGUGGGAUCAGGUAAGGGUGAAAGGGUGCGGUAAGAGCGCACCGCGCGGCUGGUAACAGUCCGUGGCACGGUAAACUCCACCCGGAGCAAGGCCAAAUAGGGGUUCAUAAGGUACGGCCCGUACUGAACCCGGGUAGGCUGCUUGAGCCAGUGAGCGAUUGCUGGCCUAGAUGAAUGACUGUCCACGACAGAACCCGGCUUAUCGGUCAGUUUCACCU